This 329-nucleotide ribosomal RNA is filed under the name uncultured eukaryote. Its description in RNAcentral is "partial 18S ribosomal RNA". It matches the Rfam family "Eukaryotic small subunit ribosomal RNA", at positions 1470 to 1796 of the family's 1831-position model. The record is from RNAcentral.
CCCUUAGAUGUUCUGGGCCGCACGCGCGCUACACUGAUGCAUUCAACGAGUCUAAAACCUGCUCUGAUAGGGGUGGGUAAUCUUUUGAAUGUGCAUCGUGAUUGGGAUAGAUGAUUGCAAUUUUUCAUCUUCAACGAGGAAUGCCUAGUAAACGCAAGUCAUCAGCUUGCAUUGAUUACGUCCCUGCCCUUUGUACACACCGCCCGUCGCUCCUACCGAUUGAAUGAUCCGAUGAAUAUCAUGGAUUGAGGAUGCAAGUAGGUUCGCCUAUCUUCAUCUUCGAGAAGUGAAGUAAAUCUUAUCAUUUAGAGGAAGGCGAAGUCGUAACA